Molecule: long non-coding RNA, 1365 nt
Organism: Seriola dumerili (greater amberjack)
Lineage: Eukaryota; Metazoa; Chordata; Actinopteri; Carangiformes; Carangidae
Exons: 3
Source: RefSeq, a predicted model, not a curated record
UUGUAAUUGCAGAGGCAGGACGAAACACAGAAUGCAGAUGUCUUUUUUAUCAGCUGUUAAGGAGGGGGAACCCCACCUUAGUGUCAAGACUCCUCAAUUUCCACACGUGUAAAACACAGACUGAUGAGACCACCACCCCCGCUCCACCUCCACCAUUUCCUCAGAGUUUCUCUCCCACCGGACAGUCGCUGCCAAAGAAGAAGAUUGCCACAGCGCCCACAUGAUGUCACAUGCAGAGCCUGACCUGUCAGCCAACACUCACCUCUGCUUAUAAUCAACAGUCAAUAUAUUGUGUGUGGCAAUGAUAUAUUUUGUAUAUAUCUUGUAUUGUUAAUAGUAUUUCGGUAAUGUUAUAUAGUUAUAGUUAUAAAGAAAAAAAUACUGGUAUUGUUACAUCCUCGAUCCUUGAUGCAUUGAGUGAUAAUGUUCAUAUUAUUGCCCGACAGUGCUAUUGCAAUUUACACGCCACUAGGGAUGACACCUUGAUACUGUCCAUGUGGAUCUGGGAACUGGUCACAUAUUUUUCCAGACACAACAACUAGGGAUAACAACUGUGACCCUGUCCUACUGCUCUGUAUUGCUACACAACAAACUGUCUGUAAGCUGCAUAGCUGAACUGCUUGUUGAUCUCCCCUGGAUCUGGAUCAUCAGCCACUGCCCGGAUGUCAUUCCAGAUGUGUCUGGCAAUGUGCAGGACCCCCUUCCUGCAAAAUACAGUCCAAGUCAAAAGUUUUGACACACUUUCCCAAACUUUUGACUGGUACUGCAAAUGACUGCAUGUGUGGCAGCAUGGAAACGCAGGAGUUGUGAUGCUGUGAUGUUCUUUCCACAUUUUGGACAUUUCUGGCUAAUGCACCUGGUAGGAUGACCUGUAACCGGAGGGCCCGGUUGAGGAGCAUCUGCUGAUGUCAUUUUUAAUGUAUGAAACACCAGUUUUGGGUCACAGAGCUCAGACAGAGUGAUGUGAUGUGACUGUUCCAAGUCCAGUUCUUGAAUUCUGGCCUGUGCAGCAACAGAUAACAAACACAAUUAGAUAUUAUAAUAGAACAGAGCUUUAUUGAAUUUUGUAUUGGUGGUAUUGGUCAGAAAAGAAAAAAAAACAGAAAUAAUUUGCUACUAUAGAUACCUGCUCAUCCACACCUGCUUUCCCUCUUCCACAACUUCCUCUGCCUCACCUCUCCCCAGAUUACCUACUCCAGCUUUAAUGGCAAAAGGUCAGCCACUGAUGUUGGUUGAUAAUCUCUUCUAGUUCAUCCCCUCUAGUUGUUGGAUGGGGUUCAGGUCAGGGCUCUGUGCACAGCAUUCGAGUUCAUCCUCACUAAAGUUGGAGAACCAUAAGAGAACCACAAGAAAGAAAUUAUUUUU